GUUGAACGCUGGCGGCAGGCCUAACACAUGCAAGUCGAGCGGAAACGAGUUAUCUGAACCUUCGGGGAACGAUAACGGCGUCUAGCGGCGGACGGGUGAGUAAUGCCUAGGAAAUUGCCCUGAUGUGGGGGAUAACCAUUGGAAACGAUGGCUAAUACCGCAUGAUGCCUACGGGCCAAAGAGGGGGACCUUCGGGCCUCUCGCGUCAGGAUAUGCCUAGGUGGGAUUAGCUAGUUGGUGAGGUAAGGGCUCACCAAGGCGACGAUCCCUAGCUGGUCUGAGAGGAUGAUCAGCCACACUGGAACUGAGACACGGUCCAGACUCCUACGGGAGGCAGCAGUGGGGAAUAUUGCACAAUGGGCGCAAGCCUGAUGCAGCCAUGCCGCGUGUGUGAAGAAGCCUUCGGGUUGUAAAGCACUUUCAGUCGUGAGGAAGCGGGUACGUUAAUAGCGUAUUCGUUUGACNUUAGCGACAGAAGAAGCACCGGCUAACUCCGUGC
Molecule: ribosomal RNA, 499 nt
Filed under: marine proteobacterium 'Tomales Bay med white'
Lineage: Bacteria; Pseudomonadati; Pseudomonadota; Gammaproteobacteria; Vibrionales; Vibrionaceae
Description: bacterial SSU rRNA
Rfam family: Bacterial small subunit ribosomal RNA
Source: RNAcentral